GGUUAAGUUAGAAAGGGCGCACGGUGGAUGCCUUGACACUAGGAGUCGAUGAAGGACGGGACUAACGCCGAUAUGCUUCGGGGAGCUGUAAGUAAGCUUUGAUCCGAAGAUUUCCGAAUGGGGCAACCC
Molecule: ribosomal RNA, 129 nt
Filed under: cotton phyllosphere bacterium B
Lineage: Bacteria
Description: partial 23S ribosomal RNA
Rfam family: Bacterial large subunit ribosomal RNA
Source: RNAcentral